AAAAAAACCAAGGAAAACUGAUGCCCUAAGGCUCCAUUAUAAAAGAAACCAUCUGGGCAUUUUUUGAGGGAUCCGGAACUUUUCUUUUGAAUUUUAGAGAUAAAAAUAGAUACUAGCUCCUCCUAUAUCUGUGAAAAUAAUCAGUGCUGCUUCCUUUGAAAUUUUAAUUUUUCUCAAACAAUCUGCUGAAGUCCUGGAUGUACUGUUCGAUUGGCU
This 216-nucleotide long non-coding RNA is filed under the name Nicotiana benthamiana. RNAcentral's name for it is "long non-coding RNA (NBEN_LNC016891)". Lineage: Eukaryota; Viridiplantae; Streptophyta; Magnoliopsida; Solanales; Solanaceae. The record is from RNAcentral.